This 290-nucleotide unclassified non-coding RNA is filed under the name Hevea brasiliensis (rubber tree). Lineage: Eukaryota; Viridiplantae; Streptophyta; Magnoliopsida; Malpighiales; Euphorbiaceae. The record is from RNAcentral.
GACUCCUCCUGAUUAUAGCUUGGGUUUUGUACCACCCAUGCUUGGGCCCCAUCUGGUGUGUCUUGAGGGACCAGAACAGCAGGGUGGGAAUUCUCAAGCUCCUUCAACAUUGGGCUCUAAUCAACCUGUGGCUCAACCCAUAGGCCUUGGGCAGAGUUCUGUCAGCGUUCCUCCACAUUUGUUCCCUUUAGUACGCCAACCAUUUCCUCCUAAUUAUAUGCCGUAUAACCCUUACAUUCCCCACCUUUACAUGCCACAGAGUGCCCACCAGUUUUUGGGCCCGAGUGGAU